GACGAACCGUGCGAACGUUGUUCGGAUUCACUGGGCUUAAAGGGCGCGUAGGCGGGCGGUCAAGUCAGAGGUGAAAUCGUUCGGCUUAACCGGACAAGUGCCCCUGAUACUGGCCGCCUCGAGGGAGGUAGGGGCAUGUGGAACUUCCGGUGGAGCGGUGAAAUGCGUAGAUAUCGGAAGGAACGCCGGUGGCGAAAGCGACGUGCUGGACCUCUUCUGACGCUGAGGCGCGAAAGCCAGGGGAGCAAACGGG
This 253-nucleotide ribosomal RNA is filed under the name uncultured bacterium. RNAcentral's name for it is "partial 16S ribosomal RNA". It matches the Rfam family "Bacterial small subunit ribosomal RNA", at positions 524 to 776 of the family's 1533-position model. The record is from RNAcentral.